This is a long non-coding RNA of Loxodonta africana (African savanna elephant), 1982 nucleotides long. RefSeq lists it as uncharacterized. The record is from RefSeq and is a predicted model, not a curated record. The transcript is spliced from 2 exons. NCBI's taxonomy places the organism in Eukaryota, Metazoa, Chordata, Mammalia, Proboscidea, Elephantidae.
GUCACCUGCGGGGACACACCCAGUGCUGUUUAAAAUCUUGAACUUUCCUUUUUUUUUUUUGAUUAGCUAAAAAAAUUUUUUUUUUAAAGAAGACCUCACUGCAGAACAAUCUAAAAACACUUCAGACUGCCCAGGCCCAGGGUUUAGCCUAGGCCCCAGCAAGGACUCUGGGCCUCACUCCACAAAGACGCACCAAGGGACUUCUCCCAGGUACCCAAAGGUAAGAAACCAGACCAGCCAAGGAAGCAAGGAGGGGAGUAAGAUGUAGAGAGCGAAGCCAGAGGAAGGCACCAUGUUUGGAUUCUAGAUCUGAACAAUCCUUGUUUUUAAAAAUCUACAAGAAAGAAGGUUCCACAACUUCUUCUAGCAACUACUGCCUCUCAGAGUGAGAUAUAUCAUCUCCUAAUCCUGUCUUCAGUGGAGAAGAAACUUUUGGUAGGUAAAACGAAGAUAGGGCAGUCUUAGUGGACCACAAGAUGAAGAGCAUCAGCAGUGAUUAUUGCUGGGAUCAUUCUGAAAAGUAUCCAGAGAGACAGAAGCCACAAGCUGAGGGGUGGUCCUUUCUCAGUGCCCUGUGGUCAGGGCAAGCUCUUGUUACCACAACGGAUGUGGGCCCAGGGUGGUAACUACAAUUACAAAAGAAUGUCGAGAACAGCAGAGAGUUCGGAGAUAAGAGCCAAAGAUGAUUAAAAGGCCAGGAUAGUGCCUACCAGGAAAGCAGUUCUGUUCCACCUCACUAGGAGAAAAGGCUAAAGGCCAUUUUCACGUGUAAUGUUUAUCAGAGAUUUUAUGAGGGGCCCUCAGAUCAUUGGUUUUCUGUGUUAAGGAAAGAAUAAACACGAAGAGAUAAGCUUCCUGUUAGGCAUAAAUGCUUGGUGUUGGGCAAAGGAAUAGCUUUACAAUGCUAAUUAGAGGGAGCGAUAAUCCUAACGGUGACUCGUGGAGACUAGCAGUCAGAGUAGGAGUGUGCUCCGUAGGCUUUUCAGUGGCUGAUUUUCUGGAUAUAGAUCACCGCACCUUUCUUCCCAGGUGCUGCUGGUUGAACUCGACCCUCCAACCUUUCAGCUAGUAGCCAAGCGUAUUCACCUUUUGCACCACCCAGGGACUCCAACAAUUGCAUUCCAGCAAAGGUCCUGUUUUCGUUCCCUUCUAGUCCCUGCCCGGUUCAGUUAUGGCUGCAGGGCUGAGGUACCGUCUGACACUCUGCACUUACCACUUAUCUGCCCCGCGCUGCCUCACUGCCUGAGCCGCUUAUCGGCUUUACUGGCAGCAUGUCCGCUAACCCACUUGAGUGGGCAUAUGUCUGCCCUCCCCAUCCUGUUCGCCCACGCUGGGCGUGUGACCCUGCAGUGCAUGCUAGACGGGGCAGCCUUCCUGAGAGAAGGGUAGGGGGCACGGGCACUGUGUAACCUGGGAAAUGUCCCCAAAUGCCUAAGGAAGCACUUGCUGGCACAGAGGAGACACUCCACAGACGAUGAAGAAAUGAAUUGUUAAUAGAAAGUACGACAUUGCCUAGCCAAGGACAGACAGCACUGGCAACCUGCCUGGGGCCCAGGGUGACCUAGGACGCCCAUCCCUGCAUCCAGUCAUCAUGUUCUUAUUUGAAGACCACUUACCACCCUGGAGCCUCCUGUAAAGUCUCAAAACCCCUUCUCCAGAAAUCAUGCUUUCUGUUGCAUAACUUUGUUUACACGGCUUGUUUUCCCAUGUUCAUUAGUGACUGUGAGGCCUUCAACUGGGGUGAGCAUUUUGUUGGCUAGAAAACCAGUGAUGCUUUCCUAAGUUUGCAAACGCAAAUAUUUGGGCGACAGGGUCUUCAAGAGACAGCUGCAAACAGAAGUGACUUCCCAGGCCUGGGCCCCACACAGGAAGGAAACCUCAUUGCGUUAUGUUACACCAUCCAAGGCUUCUGAGUGAGCUUUCCAAAGUAAAAAAAAAAAAAGGACAGGCCAGCCAAAUUUAAUACAAUAAUUCUUCUGUGG